Molecule: ribosomal RNA, 255 nt
Filed under: uncultured bacterium
Lineage: Bacteria
Description: partial 16S ribosomal RNA
Rfam family: Bacterial small subunit ribosomal RNA
Source: RNAcentral
UACGUAGGGUGCAAGCGUUGUCCGGAAUUAUUGGGCGUAAAGAGCUCGUAGGCGGUCUGUCGCGUCUGCUGUGAAAACUCAGGGCUUAACCCUGAGCUUGCAGUGGGUACGGGCAGACUAGAGUGCGGUAGGGAGACUGGAAUUCCUGGUGUAGCGGUGAAAUGCGCAGAUAUCAGGAGGAACACCGGUGGCGAAGGCGGGUCUCUGGGCCGUAACUGACGCUGGAGGAGCGGAAAGCGUCGGGGAGCGAACAGG